GACGAACGCUGGCGGCGUGCCUAAUACAUGCAAGUCGAACGCGGUCCGUGGUGCUUGCACCACACUAUGACCGAGUGGCGAACGGGUGAGUAACACGUGAGAAACCUGCCCUGGAGAUCGGGAUAACCACCGGAAACGGUGGCUAAUACCGAAUACCCCUGACCAGUCGCAUGGCCGGUCAAGGAAAGGUUCCGGCGCUCUGGGAGGGUCUCGCGGCCUAUCAGCUAGUUGGUGGGGUAAUGGCCCACCAAGGCAUCGACGGGUAGCUGGUCUGAGAGGACGAUCAGCCACACUGGGACUGAGACACGGCCCAGACUCCUACGGGAGGCAGCAGUAGGGAAUCUUGCGCAAUGGGCGAAAGCCUGACGCAGCAACGCCGCGUGGGGGGAUGACAGCUCUAGGGUUGUAAACCCCUUUCAGCAGGGACGAAAAUGACGGUACCUGCAGAAGAAGCUCCGGCCAACUACGUG
RNAcentral lists this ribosomal RNA (470 nucleotides) under uncultured bacterium. RNAcentral's name for it is "bacterial SSU rRNA". It matches the Rfam family "Bacterial small subunit ribosomal RNA", at positions 28 to 507 of the family's 1533-position model. The record is from RNAcentral.